Molecule: ribosomal RNA, 468 nt
Filed under: uncultured bacterium
Lineage: Bacteria
Description: partial 16S ribosomal RNA
Rfam family: Bacterial small subunit ribosomal RNA
Source: RNAcentral
GACGAACGCUGGCGGCGUGCUUAAUACAUGCAAGUCGAACGGACAGACCCUGCUUUUGUGGGGUUCUCGUGUGGCGAACGGGUGAGUAACACGCGUGUAUACCGCCCCUGUCUGUCUGAUAUCACCAGGAAACUCCGGCUCUUAUCGCAUAUGAGAUCUUGCACCACGGUGGGCGAUGGUAAGUUUCGGCGGUGGGGGCUGGUCUCGCGGCUUAUCAGCUGGAUGGGGGGGUAGUGGCUUUCAAGGGCUUCGACGGGUAGCCGGCCUGAGAGGGUUACCGGGCACAUUGGGCCUGAGAUAGGGCGCAGUCGCCUACGGGAGGCAGCAGGGGGGAAUAUUGCACAAUGGGCGGAAGCCUGAUGCAGCAACGCCGCGUGCGUGAUGACGGCCUUCGGGGUGUAAACCGCUUUCGCCUGUGACGAAGCGGGAGUGACGGUAAUGGGUAAAGAAGCACCGGCUAACUACGUG